RNAcentral lists this ribosomal RNA (253 nucleotides) under uncultured bacterium. Its description in RNAcentral is "partial 16S ribosomal RNA". It matches the Rfam family "Bacterial small subunit ribosomal RNA", at positions 524 to 776 of the family's 1533-position model. The record is from RNAcentral.
UACGAGGGGGGCGAGCGUUGUUCGGAAUUAUUGGGCGUAAAGGGUGCGUAGGCGGUUUGGUAAGUCUCGUGUGAAAUCUACAGGCUCAACUUGUAGUCUGCACGAGAAACUGCCGGGCUUGAGUGUGGGAGAGGUGAGUGGAAUUCCCGGUGUAGCGGUGAAAUGCGCAGAUAUCAGGAAGAACACCCGUGGCUAAGGCGGCUCUCUAGUACGGUACUGACGCUGAGACGCGAAAGCGUGGGGAGCGAACAGG